CCUACGGGGGGCAGCAGUGAGGAAUAUUGGUCAAUGGGCGUAAGCCUGAACCAGCCAAGUCGCGUGAGGGAUGAAGGUUCUAUGGAUCGUAAACCUCUUUUAUAAGGGAAUAAAGUGCGGGACGUGUCCUGUUUUGUAUGUACCUUAUGAAUAAGGAUCGGCUAACUCCGUGCCAGCAGCCGCGGUAAUACGGAGGGUCCGAGCGUUAUCCGGAUUUAUUGGGUUUAAAGGGUGCGUAGGCGGUCUUUUAAGUCAGCGGUGAAAGUCUGUGGCUCAACCAUAGAAUUGCCGUUGAAACUGGGAGGCUUGAGUAUGUGUGAGGCAGGCGGAAUGCGUGGUGUAGCGGUGAAAUGCUUAGAUAUCACGCAGAACCCCAAUUGCGAAGGCAGCCUGCCAAGCCAUGACUGACGCUGAUGCACGAAAGCGUGGGGAUCAAACAGGAUUAGAUACCCCGGUAGUC
This 460-nucleotide ribosomal RNA is filed under the name uncultured bacterium. RNAcentral's name for it is "partial 16S ribosomal RNA". It matches the Rfam family "Bacterial small subunit ribosomal RNA", at positions 338 to 795 of the family's 1533-position model. The record is from RNAcentral.